Molecule: long non-coding RNA, 2851 nt
Organism: Triticum dicoccoides
Lineage: Eukaryota; Viridiplantae; Streptophyta; Magnoliopsida; Poales; Poaceae
Exons: 10
Source: RefSeq, a predicted model, not a curated record
GUGAAAGAGAAGGUGGAACGGGGACAGCGGCGGCUGGGCUCUCGUCAGCGCGGAAGGUGUCCGGCUCUCCCCUCCGCCUCCGGCCCUCUCGGCCUCUCCUUGGCCUCCGGCGUCCCCGGUCCCUCGAUCCUUUAUUCAAACAAAAAACGCCUACAUCUUAUCCAGAUGUUGUCGGUCCUUGACCUGCCGUCCGUCCGGCACGGCGGCGUCCUUGUCGGCGGCGGAGACGGCAUCCUUGUCGGCGGCGGAGACAGCUAUGGAUGCAGAGGAGGAUGAGAAGGCGUCCGCCGUGCCUUGCGCGGGAGGACGGAGGACGCCUCGCCUGGGCGUGUGCUCGGUGAGGGGCGGCGCCCUUGCCGGCGUUGCCGGCGGCGGAGAUGGCUUCUGCUGCGCGGCGGGCUGGAGCAUGGGGGGUAGUUGUCGGGCAACAUGAGGAGGCAGAGGCGGCCAAGGCAAUGAGGCACGGCGUCGGCUAGCCAAGGGGCGGCCGGAGCAGAGGACGUCCACUUCCCCAGUCUGCGCACUCAUCACGGCAAGGCUAAUUCGAGUUAGCAACUUGGAGUAAUCACGUUCUCUCUAAUACUGUGUGCAGACCUAUCAUGUUUUCUGAAUUUCUGCCUGCAGCCCAAGUGCUACCAUGUUCCCUGAUAAAUUUCUUACGCUGAAUUUUUAUGUGCUUCCAUGUUCUGUACAUGUACACGUACUCUGAAAUUCAUUCUAUCUUGUGCAGUCAGUAUUGGGUGUAUACUCAUGACUUCCAAAGCGCCACUUGAUGUAAAAAAUCAUAUGCACAAUGCUGCAAGCUUGGCUAAAGGUGGAUCUUUUUGCGAUCCUAUAUAGCAUGUUGUUGGACGUGGCCGGGUUUUUUGUUGGUAAUUGUUGCGGGAGCAAGCAAAGGAGCCUGGCUUGGUACAUAUGGGUUAAUUGUUCUUGAUCAAUUGUCGUGCGUUAAUUGUUAGGUCUGGUAACAUCCUGCUCCCCUGUCUAAUUUGGGUUGAAUUCAUGACCGUGGCCUUCUCCAACAGAAAUCAGUGGAGUGCCCGACCCGGAUUGAAUUUCGCUGCUAUAAGAAGGAAGGGUCCUUGGCCGGAAUCUCCAUCAGGUUGCGUACUUGGACCAGAAAAUCCAUCAAAUCCCGGAGUACUUGGACCAGAAAAGCAUCGUGUCGCCUUCAAGUUCGCCGGAGGAAGAAGUGCCGAGUUUGCCGGAGGUAGAAGAACAUCCGUCGAGCCGUCGAAUAUCGCCAACGGUGGGCUACACCAGAGUAUUCAAGAAUCCUACCAUAUAGCAGUAUCAUCUUUGUUGCUGCACAUAUUUGGUUCGGGUUGGCCCAACCUAAAAAAUUCAGGGAAGACAAAGCUGGAAAACCAUAGAUGUUAGCUUUGUGCUUCUUCAUUGGUAUUCAAUUAACAUGAAGUAACCAUGAUAGCUGGUGCUGAACUCAUGUUUUUUUCGUGACUAAUAAUAAGGGUUGGAUGAAGCAAAUCAGACACACUUCUAAGACCCCCCUCUCCAGCGACGGCGGAGCACGGGCAGGUGAGGGGCGGCGCCCUUGUCGCGACCUCCGACCCACCUCGUCGCCGACCCUCCCCGUCCUCUUCUCCCACCUUGCAGCUCCGACCUCGCCACGCCCUGCAUCUGAGUCCCCGCUGUGUACGAGGAGAAGGCGGCGAGCUGGCAACACCCGUAGUGCUGGGAGUGGCGAUGCCGCCGCGGCGCUAGAUGCGGGAGGCCCGUGCACAGCGGCGCCAGUGCAGCCGCUCCAGGUGGCCGACGUUGUGGCCGUGGAGAUGCACGUUGGGCUCGCCUCUGAGGGCGCGGGAGCAGCUCGGUGUGCUAUGCCACCCGCACGGCUACUACAGGUGGCCGACAUCAUGUCCGUGGAGAUGCACGCAGGGGUCGCCUCCAAGUGCGCGGGAGCAAGGUCGAGAUGGUCAUCAACUAUGGCGAUUCUCUCCCGCCAAGGUCCAAUCCUUCCCCGUUCAGAUCUGGAAGUCCGGCCUUAGCCCGGGUAGCUCUCGUGGAAGGGAUACACCACGAGCCCUGAUUUGAUCUGGCGAUAGCGGCACAACAAAAUUCAGAUUACAAACUAGAGGUGGGGCUACCGAGGUUGGGAGGGGGACCGGUGAAACUCAACUGUAACGUUUGCGCGGAUGCGCAACAUGAUUUAGAUAGCCAAGACGGGGGAGGUUCUUAAGAGUCGAGGAUGAUGAUUAGAGGUACUCUAUGAAGUAUGAGAAGGAUGGGGAGAUGGAGAGAGUCCUCAAGAAGACUGCGCUGAUUGGGAAGUUAGAGGUAAUGAGGUAGGCGCUGGGGAAUAAUUUAUGUGCGUACUAUGUUUGCGAGAACAUUCGCAUGACGACGUCUGAAAGGAGCACAUCUGACAAAGCACUUUGGAUGCAAGAGAAGCGGGAUAAGCUCCUACCAGCAGAUCGUGUAUGAGUAAUUCAAGAGGAAAUAGCAGGAUUUUUGCUCGACGAGGUUAUAGAUCCCAAAGGAGAAUACCAUUACAAGCUGUAAUGGCUCCAUGUAAUGAUCUAUUUUUAGGGGCAUCUACAUGAAUCCCAUGCAUGGCUUUGCGGCAUGCAAGUCUUUCCUGCUAGACAAGCAAGAAAACAGAGCCAUCACGCUUGCCCUACUGUAGCAGCCUUCAAAGCACCACAGAAUGUGGGCUCUCUCAAUGUCAGUUCAUUAGCUGAGCUGAUCUCACAUGCUAACAUCAUGUAAUCUUUUUUCUACAUUGCACAUUUAUCAGUUGGAUUAUAUCGUAGACUGCAGUUCAGAUCAUUAUCAUGUAUGUUGCUCCUUUGAAAGUUAGACUUCAUAAAGAAGCAAUUUGAUCCGACCACAA